This 123-nucleotide microRNA precursor is filed under the name Hordeum vulgare. RNAcentral describes it as "microRNA MIR1122". It matches the Rfam family "MIR1120/MIR1122 microRNA precursor family". The record is from RNAcentral. Lineage: Eukaryota; Viridiplantae; Streptophyta; Magnoliopsida; Poales; Poaceae.
UAAAUACUCCCUUCGUCCGGAAUUAUUUAUCGCACAAAUGAAUAAAAAGAUGUAUCUAGAACAAAAAUACAUCAAGAUGCAUCCAUUCUUAUGUCAAGCAUUUCCGGACGGAGGAAGUAUUUA